AAAACUUUCAACAACGGAUCUCUUGGUUCUGGCAUCGAUGAAGAACGCAGCGAAAUGCGAUAAGUAAUGUGAAUUGCAGAAUUCAGUGAAUCAUCGAAUCUUUGAACGCACAUUGCGCCCCUCGGUAUCCCGGGGGGCAUACCUGUUCGAGCGUCAUUA
Molecule: ribosomal RNA, 159 nt
Filed under: Bacidina arnoldiana
Lineage: Eukaryota; Fungi; Ascomycota; Lecanoromycetes; Lecanorales; Ramalinaceae
Also listed under: 1 other name
Description: 5.8S ribosomal RNA
Rfam family: 5.8S ribosomal RNA
About the family: 5.8S ribosomal RNA (5.8S rRNA) is a component of the large subunit of the eukaryotic ribosome. It is transcribed by RNA polymerase I as part of the 45S precursor that also contains 18S and 28S rRNA.
Source: RNAcentral